This 509-nucleotide ribosomal RNA is filed under the name uncultured bacterium. RNAcentral describes it as "bacterial SSU rRNA". It matches the Rfam family "Bacterial small subunit ribosomal RNA", at positions 975 to 1482 of the family's 1533-position model. The record is from RNAcentral.
CAGCCCUUGACAUGUCCUCUAUGGAUUCCAGAGACGGAGUCCUUCACUUCGGGUGGGAGGAACACAGGUGCUGCAUGGCUGUCGUCAGCUCGUGUCGUGAGAUGUUGGGUUAAGUCCCGCAACGAGCGCAACCCUCGCCCUUAGUUGCCAUCAUUUAGUUGGGCACUCUAAGGGGACUGCCGGUGAUAAGCCGGAGGAAGGUGGGGAUGACGUCAAGUCCUCAUGGCCCUUACGGGCUGGGCUACACACGUGCUACAAUGGCGGUGACAGAGGGAUGCAAAGGGGCAACCCUUCGCAAAUCUCAAAAAGCCGUCUCAGUUCGGAUUGGGGUCUGCAACUCGACCCCAUGAAGUUGGAAUCGCCAGUAAUCGCAGAUCAGCACGCUGCGGUGAAUACGUUCCCGGGCCUUGUACACACCGCCCGUCACACCAUGGGAGUUGGCUUUACCUGAAGACGGUGCGCUAACCGCAAGGAAGCAGCCGGCCACGGUAGGGUCAGCGACUGGGGUG